RNAcentral lists this long non-coding RNA (28216 nucleotides) under Volvox carteri. Its description in RNAcentral is "long non-coding RNA (VCAR_LNC000090)". The stretch from base 25616 to 25699 matches the Rfam family "tRNA". The record is from RNAcentral. Lineage: Eukaryota; Viridiplantae; Chlorophyta; Chlorophyceae; Chlamydomonadales; Volvocaceae.
GGCGAUGCUAGCGAGCGGGGCAGAGGCGGCAUCAGAGGCGGCACAGGUCUUCGAGGAGGCGGACUGCGUGGAGGCAAGGGCGGUGGAGGCGGCCGAGGCUUCGGGGGCGACGGAGGCGGCCGACUCCUUGGCGGCGGGCGAGGCGGCCGCGGCGGGCCAGCACGCCUGAUGUUAACCAUGAUCGGUCGGGGUGGUUGUCGGGGGCUUGGGGGGGGACCUGUGUGCGAGCGGAUAAAUUGUUGCAAUCUACUUUGUUGUCAUUCAUUAGCCAAUCCUGUUUCCGUCAGCAGGUAGGCAGGCAGAUAGGCAGGCAGCAACGAAAUGCCAUUAUCGCCACGGAAGGCAGGAGAUUUCUGCCAAUGAGAUUUGUCCUGGCGAAGACUUGGCUGGCUGGUGUGCAACGGCGCGUAUGUGGGACGGCGGCCGGGGACAGAUAAACACCGUCACUUGCAUCUGCAUGGCCUCCAUUUCCCUUCGUUUCGGGGCAACCUAGUCUAAACAAGUUAUUAGGGGAUAUACAUACAGCAUCCGCUCACGUCCGGGGGCAUCUGUAAAAGCCUGCGGCCCCGGGCGGCCUCAUGAACGGUUCUUUGUUGUUACUGGAUAAUAACACAUACACACACAUACGCACACAUACACACAUACACACACAUACACACACAUACACAUACAUACACACACAUACACACACAUACACACACAUACACACACAUACACACAUACACACACAUACACACACAUACACACACAUACACAAAUACACACACAUACACACACAUACACACACAUACACACACAUACACAAAUACACACACAUACACACACAUACACAAAUACACACACAUACACACACAUACACACAAUGGGAGGUGGCCCCCCAUCAUAUGGACGGUGUAGGACGUGAUAAUAUCAACUUGCGAGCUGAUCAGGAACUAAGUUGAUGCGCCGUUGAUCCGCUAGAUUUGGUUGGAUGCUGGUGGUGAGUUGCCGAACCCAACGAAUACAUUCUGAAGUCGGAUGGGGUGACGGAUUAGGGUGCCCCUCUAGCAGGGGAGAGCAGGGACUGCCCCGGGAAAGGGGGCCGCUGGCGAAGUUAACCACCCUGUAACAACAUACACACACAUACACACACAUACACACGCAUACACACACAUACACACAUACACACAUGUUGUGGUCCUAAUAGCCGAAUUGAGGAUGAAAAACACGUGUUAUUGGAAUGCCCAGCCUAUAAUGAUAUUCGUGCUGAAGAGGGAUUCGAUCAUCAACAGAGUAUGUUGGAGGCCAUACAAUGGGAACCCGCACGCCUGGCGAGGAUGUUGGAACGUAUGUGGGCUCACCGAAACUCAAUUACCCCAUUUGGACGUUAGUCUGGGCUGAUGUGCGGUGUUUUUUUCCUUUUCUCCGUGGCUUUUAGGCGUUGUAGUAUUGCCCUUGGGCCUUCGGCUCGUAUGGGUAGUCUUACAGGUAUGGGGUCACGAACCCCCGAACCAUGUAACACACACACACACACACACAUACACACGCAUACACGCACAUACACACAUACACACAUACACACACGCGUAGAAACGUACGUGCGUGCAUCUAGCAGGAAGAGUGUGUGGCCGCAUCGCGAAGGACAAGCAAUCUGGUGCAAGGCGAGACUAUCCUUGUAAACACGCGGCAUUGUUGUUAAAUAGCAUAGACUUCCAUCUCUGUUGCAUGUAUGAUGUUUGAAACAGGGGAGUAUAUCUUCACCCGAGGCAGCUACCCUGCGAAACCCUGCCUUCCCCGGUAUAUCGGGGCACCCUCAUCCAGUCACCCUAGUCAACUUCUCAGUGGGUCGCUCAAGUUCCGCACCCACCACCAGCAUCUAACGGAAUGUGACGGGUCGACAGCGGCCCAACUCCAUUCUUGGUCGGCUCGCAGGUUAACUUUAUCCCAGGUCACCAACGUCCAUCAACUAGGGGCGCAAUACCUUCCACCAUCGGAAGGAUUUUCAACCCUGACAGGUCUCGAUCCCGGGAUGACUGUUGUAUGUCCGCCGAUGUCAGGCAGCUCUAUCUGCUGUGCCAUCUUAAUCGUUGAGUACGCCUCCACACGUUUUACGUACUUUUGCAUGAGGCCGCGAAACGCUAAAGCUAAAGCUAAGCAAAAAAACACGUGGGGAUUUAACCCGUGAAAUAACAGGCGUUUCGCAUUCUUUCCUUUGUUUCCCCGGAUAUUCAGACAACUAGCCUCGCGGCGGCGCGUGCGGAGAAAAAAAAACUAUUACUAAAACACCAUUGGGGGAUUACUCACGCUUGCUAGGGGUUGGGCGUGUUUGGGCCGCUGCUGGCUCCAGCAAUAGCAGGGCCGUGAGGAGCAGCUGCGUCGUCAGCUUGACCAGCAGAAGCCAUGGUUGCGCCAUUUGCGGCAGCGCAAAGAUAAUAAGCGUUUCGCGGGUAGGUAGCAAGCCCGUAAGGGUGGUUGGCAAACGGCCGAGAAGAUGAAAGGUUCUUUUUAAUUAUUGGUGAUCAACGAGCGAAUCAAUGGACCACAAAUGUUGUCGGCAAUAUACUGCAAUAAGCAUGUGACUAUUAACUUAUUAUCGGGAAAAAAAAUUAAAUGGGAUUCUCAGUGCUGUUAGCAUACGCGCUUGCUCUUGACUGACACAGCUCGUACAAUGCUGUGCUUGUGUCUCUUCAGGCCAGCUAGGCAACUGCCAAUAAUGUGUGGCACCAGCAGAGAUUCCGAGAUGGUAAUGUCCGUCUUCAUCUUGCGGGUUAAUAUGCCGAAACACAUAAUAUCCGCUUUCCUGUGGAAAAGCUUGGUAUAAACAAAUUACAGGUUGGGUGACGAAUAGCUCACCGCCUGCUGUUAUAUCGAUUACAAUGCAUCCGCUGUCAAGCUACGCCUCUUACGUACGUAAAGCCAUAAAAAUAAAUUCUUUCUAGUUAUAGAAAAACGCAGGACUGAAAUAUUGCAUGUUGCACGACGCACGGAUGCAUUAUGUAUACUCGCUCGCGCGAUCGCUCGAUAAUCGAUAAUCGAUGUCGUGGCUAGUUAUGAGUCGACCUCCCCGCCUACGAGCCAUGUCCCUGUCCGCCCUGCUGCUCAUCAGGACCGGGUUCCAACCCUUGCUUGAAGCCGCCGAAGUAAUUCGAUCUCAAAGGCUCUACUAUCUUGUAGUAUGCAUAUGUAGCUUUUCUCAUCAUAACAGCUUGAUGGAGGUUUGCAAACGAUUAGCAGGACAACGAAUACGCACGUCGCUAGAGCUCGGCAGGCCUUGCUUGCUCGGCGGGCCUUCAUCUAUCCAUGCAUUCUCUAUCGGCACGCCACCUUUAUUAUUCGCCUCUAUCUGCACUGUGCCCUGCAUGCACCACCGUGUACAUCCUUGCAUCGUUUUCUGCGUGGUAAUAUUGGACUUAUUAUAUUAGCCUAUCAUGUCUCACAAAACAUUUAAAGGAACAUGCAUGUAAUAAUGCUUUGGGAAGGCCGAAUACGUCUGCUAACUCCUUCGCUCGUUCGCUCGCUCCCAUCGUGUAGUGGUAGAUAGUGGUGUCGGCGCGCACUGCGCGCGCUGCGCAGCUGCAGCAUUUACUGUUCCGGGUACAUAGCUACCUGCAGCAGCAGCAUGAUUUGCUCCAUCUAUCCUACAUACUUGCAAGAACAAGUGUUGCAAGUAAACAGCUCCCAUCCGUCGUCCCGUCAUGCAUCGUCUGCAGCAGCUAGCAGCAGCAGCUCUCCCUUUUCCCGUAUGUAGUUUUAAGUUCUGUUGUAUACGCGUAUGUAGUAGCUCACAAAGCAAUACCCUACCUGGCUAAUCGACGGAUCAAUUUGACGAUGGCUGCGCAUGCAUGUGUAAGUACGUGUGUGGUUACGGUGUAAAUACGUGGUCCCCACAGACUAGCCGCUGCAAAGCUAAGCAUGGUCUCCUCCCCGAACGCCUGGUUGGCAUUCACGUUCGCUACGUGCGUUGCGACCGCAUUACGACAACAAGGUUAUUAUUACUAGCUGCUGUCCGCGCAUGUAUGUGUGUGUAUGUGUAUGUGUGUGUGUGUGUGUGCGUGUGUGUGUGUGUCUGUGUGUGUGUGUGUGUCCGGAUCCGCAUGCAAACAGCAGAUAGCUGGCGAUGACGCCACAUGCUGCUGCUGAGGAUUAAUAACCAGCUAAGAACAUGAAGUAACAAAAUUAAUAUAAUGCCUGAUAGGCUGCUCGACUGUGUGCACGAAUGUUCACCCAUACACCCACCAGCGUGCAUAGCGGGCGGGGGUGAGGGAUAGAACAUUUGGCGGUGGGCGGCUGGAUGGCGUUCCACACCAUAGAGAAAAAGCACAGCGUCCCUGUAAGAAGCACGUUUGGCAUAGAGCAUGGAACGAUUUAUAGUAUACCAUCCUUUUGCGCACCGUAUGUAUCAAAAGUAGCAAGACGCACGUGCAUACGCAUGUGUGUUGUAUCACGUCUUAUCGCAGGAAAAGAACCGAUCGGCGGAUGUCAAUGCCGUGAUACCCAGGAUACUACAAUGUGUGUGGAUGUUUGUGUGUGUGUGCGUGUGUGUGUUACAUGGUUUGGGGUGCGUGACCCCGCAUACCUGCAGAAUUACCCAUACGAGCCGAAAGCCCAAGGGCAAGACCUGAACGCCUAAACGCCACAUAAGAAGGAUACACCGCAAUUAAGGGAGAAGAUAGAACUAGCGCCCAAAGGGCACAGCUGAGUUGCGGUAAGCCCGCAUACGUUCCAACAUCCUCGCCAGGAGGGCUGGCUCGCAUUUCAUGCUCUGUUGAAGAUCGAAUUUCUUCUUCCGCGCGAAUACCAUUAAAAGCUAUUUUUCGUCCUCGACUUGGUGCCACUUUUGGUUCCACAACAGCUCUGGAUCCGCUGCUCCCUGGGGACGUGGUGCCUGCCCCUUCGGGUUUUGUUUGCCUCGAAAUCCCAGCAAAAUCAACGAAAGUGCAUUAGCCUACGAUGCGCUAGAAGAGGAAUGAAAACUUAGCAUAAGUUUGCUGCAUGAUGUGCAUACGUUGUCGUACAUGGUCAUACGUGCGUUGUGUGCGCUUGCCUCACCGACAUACCAGCAACACAUACCAGCAACACCCUGUCGCAUUGCAUCAUCACGCAGCAAGCACCUGCUGGGCCAUUUUGCGUCCAACCAUCUGCGGUAUCACUCCUACCGGGCGUGAGUGUGUAUAACGUGUACCCAGCCACCCCAGCCAGUGUAUUAUCACAACUUCAGGAAAGUACACCUAUCGGCGGAUGCAUAUCUCUCUCGUGACAUGACCAGGAUACGACAGCCAGCCAGCCAGCCAGCCAGCCAAACAACCGAAGCGUAUCUACCUUCUCCUGUGUUACUGACUAUGUGAAACGUCAUGGAGUAGCUAUAUACAGGCACCUACGGCGCAUGAACGGAGUAAAAAUAGCUACGGGUAACGUUCAUUCCAGGACGACCAUUAACCCACCCCGCGUUUAUUGGAGUAGUUGAUCCGCCUGUUGGUUGAUCAGUGAUAUCACCCAUCAUUGAUGAAAGGGUUGGGAGCUGCGAUUGAUUAUUGAGACAUCACCAAUAGUAGUAAUAUGUUCUCGCAGGCAGCUGCAGGUACACGCCGUCCCUGCUGUCCGUGUUUCCAGCUCCCACCGAAACCGUCCACUGCCAUUUGGUUGGAUGUUCAACCAGUCCUCGGGCACUCUCGCAGCUACCAUCAGCUGCCAUCCGGCGCCACCUCGCGCUGUACAUUUAUUUGUGGCACAGGGCCGCUACUAACUAGCGAUUGGGGCCGGACUGCUCUGACCCUCCUGGAAAGGUGCCUGGGCAAUACUAAUAAUCUGGCCUAUCUGACGCGCUUCCUGAUAAGCCACCGCUAAUGUUCCAACCCGAACCUACGACCUUGCCAUCACGCACAAGUCCUCUUCCUCAAGGAUUGUCUGUUCCGACGAUGAUGAACAGAAUAAAAGAAAGCAAAAGGGUUUGAUGUCACUUGCUGCGGCGGGCUAUACAUCGUGCAUAUGAUGUAUCGUCCAAAUAACGUGGCCGACCCAUGAUACAUACGUAGCCCACUGUAACCACCACAAACACAAACACAAACACAAACACAAACACAAACACAAACACAAACACAAACACAAACACAAACACAAACACAAACACAAACACAAACACAAACACAAACACAAACACAAACACAAACACAAACACAAACACAAACACAAACACAAACACAAACACAAACACAAACACAAACACAAACACAAACACAAACACAAACACAAACACAAACACAAACACAAACACAAACACAAACACAAACACAAACACAAACACAAACACAAACACAAACACAAACACAAACACAAACACAAACACAAACACAAACACAAACACAAACACAAACACAAACACAAACACAAACACAAACACAAACACAAACACAAACACAAACACAAACACAAACACAAACACAAACACAAACACAAACACAAACACAAACACAAACACAAACAGACACACAUCUGUAUUUAAACAUGCACGCACACGCACGAACUAGCUACUGUAGUGCGGGCCCUCACGAUGUCUGUUUAUACAUCAGGUAGUUACCAUCAAUCGACUGAUAUACAUACAUGCGUCCAUCCAACAAAUAAAAUUCAUGCCACAACUACAGCUGCUACAGAAAAGUACUGAUCGGUGGAUGCAGAUCCCAUGAUAUUCCCAGAUAUUCCCAACUCAUUUAUCCCCCCUCUAGCAGUGGAGGGCGACCUCAACCUCAGCCAACUCAGGGUCUGUAGUAGCGGGUACACAGUACGCCACACAUAACCUCUACAAAUACGCGCUAAGUGCGACCGCCAGCAGCAUCUCGAGAGGCCUGCUUUUCGGCGGCCAGCUACUACAGCUUCCUGAGUCCCUAUGUGGUGGCAGCACCCGCGGGAUACCCGGCGGUCGCCAGGCCUUUAACGCCCCGCUAAGCACGUACAGGUGAGAUUCAAACCCAAGUUAGGAGUGGGAUUCAUGUAGGCGGUCAUCUAGCACAUAACGACAUAACGACUACAACUGCUACAGCUAAGUACCUACUGGCGGAUGAAGUGCCCGUGAAAUGUCCAAAAUACAACAAUGAACCUCAUGGCUUAAGCAAAGCCGGAAGGAAAUACAUCGCUGCCAGCAUGCAGCACGCAGCACGCACAGCUCGAUGGCGAUGUGGCGAAGGCCCCCCUGGGGUGGGGCCCACCUUUAAAAGCAAAUGAAUGUAGCCGGAUAAAGUCCACGCACGCACGCACGUGUGCCAAUUACGAAUGGCAGAUUUACCUGGCUAUCCGUUGACAUGCUGCCCCUAUUGCUUAAACAGCUGCGCUCCUAGGCUCCCAGCAGCAGUUAUUUACAGACAAAUCGUAAAUUUUGUUAAUUUACGUAAGGGACGUACAUGAAGGAUAGCUGUGGCUAUGCUUGAACCAUCCCGAUAGCUGGAUAGAGCGUGCGCAUCCGUACGUCGUGAUGUGACAACAGCGGCUUUGUUUUUUUCCGCUCCGCCAUUGUCGUCCUUGAUGUGGCGCAGGACGGAUCAUAUCAUAUCAUCUUUAUUGAAGGCUGCUGGCGACAGCGAUGCGUGAGGGGGGGGCGGCGAUGUGUGUGUCUUGCAGCAUUCCACAGUAUGGCUGGUAUGGUAGUCAUGUUGAUGUGCGUUCCUCAUGCAUGCCAAAGUAGUCAUGUUGAUGGUGCUUCACUCGUUACACCACAGCAGCACUGGUGUUGCGUAGCACUGCGAGAGCGGCACACGGGGCAUUCGGCAUAUGCUUGGACACGGAAAGGUCUGCAGCGGGCAACUACACUAGGGUCCAAUAUUACUGCUCCACAGGGGUUGCAUAAAAUGGAUGGAUAACCCGUCGCAUUAUCAGCUGGCAAUAUUGCCAUUAAAAAAUGCAAGACAAGCUAGGAGCACUGAUCCAACCAUGCAUAUAUUUACCUCAUACAAAUGAGACACCCUACAAUACUCUACCAAGCCGGCGUGUGUACACACGUGGUUGCCGGUACACGCGGGGCUGUUAGCUGUCAGGCGUCUGCUGUCUGGCUGCUGGCUCGUCACUCGCUCACUCACCGUUCUUCAGGAAGGACAUGUCGCUUUGCCAGUUACCGGGCGCCUUGUAGCGACACACCACAACCUUGCACCCGGCUGCCAGGGUUUUACUUCCAAUCCGUAUAGGCGUCUCCGCAGAUCCAACUCCGCAACCAAUGGUUGACGUGCCCUUCCAGACCAGCUGGGAGAAGUGGCCAAUGUUUCUGGGCCAGUUAUCGUAAUAAGGCUGAGCAGCGUCAAAAUCGUAGUUUACGACCUCAGCGUACCAGCCCCUGGCUGCCAGUGUGCAUGUAUUGUCGGGUUUAGGAAAGGACUGCUGCGAUAAUAAAUUCUCACCAGCAUCGCGAACGCCUGAGUGCUUGAGCGCGCAAUCGUUAUCAGCAAGUUGCUGUGCGUAAGCGGUGGCAGCGAUGGCCAAAUUGUUGUUCCAUCGAAGAGGUGGCGCCUGGUGCCGGGCACGGUAAAGGUUGUGCAGAUCAAGAAAAGCUUGGGCAUCCGGACAACUGCUGCCCAUAAGCUCAGAGGGGCUUGGUGGUGUCGGGCUUUGCACUGGCGGCGCCGGGCUUUGCACUGGCGGCGCCGGGCUUUGCACUGGCGGCGCCGGGCUUUGCACUGGCGGCGCCGGGCUUUGCACUGGCGGCGCCGGGCUUUGCACUGGCGGCGCCGGGCUUUGCACUGGCGGCGCCGGGCUUUGCACUGGCGGCGCCGGGCUUUGCACUGGCGGCGCCGGGCUUUGCACUGGCGGCGCCGGGCUUUGCACUGGCGGCGCCGGGCUUUGCACUGGCGGCGCCGGGCUUUGCACUGGCGGCGCUGGGCUUUGCACUGGCGGCGCUGGGCUUUGCACUGGCGGCGCCGGGCUUUGCACUGGCGGCGCUGGGCUUUGCACUGGCGGCGCCGGGCUUUGCACUGGCGGCGCCGGGCUUUGCACUGGCGGCUGGGCUGGUGUUGGCAUCUGGUCCGGGUUGUACGGCUGAGGAUUUCCAGGCGGCCUUGGAAGGGGAGGCGACGGGGUCUUACUCUGUGACAGUCCUGCUGGCUGAUGAGCGGCAAAGAGCGGCGAGGGAGCCGUCGGUAGAGGUGCGGCGUUAGGCUGGUCGUCCAUCGCUAGGAGGAUUUGGCGCCCGCCACGCAGCCCGACGAAGCCUGUGAGAAAAGGUGGCCGGUUGAACAAAUCGAUGACAGAUAUAUGGGCGUUUGGGGAUGCAGUGCCCUAGCAGAUAUGGAGGUUAGGUAAGUAGCUGAUGCACACAAACAAAGAUUCGAACACAACUAGAAACGCAUCCGAUAGUUAGCCCUCGGCCAUACAUCUUAAUUAAUCUUGCGCACUUACAAGAAACGUACUCCUGCCUACGUUUGCGCACAUACUUGCUCCUAUUUACUUGCUCCUAUUUACUUGCUCCUACGUAGCAUACUACUUCUCCGGCCUACAAGUGCUUUAUCCGAAAUCGAAAUCAAGGAUAAAAUUUUAUAACUUACGGUCUCCACGGAGUUUUGCUUGCGCUGCUGUCUGCUGCGAAAGCAUCAGGCCGAGAAUGAAGCCGAUCAGAGCCGUCGCUGUUGUCGGGGAAGUGACGACGGCUUGCCGAGCCAUCGCUCCUGGCAAACACCGAUCUUACAGGUGAAUGUUUAUAGAAUGAAAUUCCUGCCUGGGGUGCGCUGUUCCUCGCUAGAGUCGGAGCUGGACCGCAAUCUUCGCGGCGCAACACUGCAAGCUGUGGGUGGGCGGCGGAGAGGCGCUAAGAAAGGUUGCCUUAUGCGCAAGGAGCCUUGAGUUGUGCGCAUUUAAUAUAAAAUAAUAUAUUUAAGUGAUUCUUGGCCUUAUGGUGUCGUAAUAUUACUGUGAGAACUUGGUGCCGACAAGCCGACUAUGUAUUUGUAAGGAAUUGGGAGUACGACAACAACCACCGCUAUGAUCUCACUCUUCCCAUACAAAUGGUCAUACCUCGCUCCAUUCACCUCCCACAUUGGCAUCAGUCAGUCCGGCGACCACAACGCUUCAUCCCUUUAGACCUAAGGGUUGUCUUUAUUAGCUACCCUGAGCAUAAUUUUGUAAAUAUGCACCUGAGUGUAAAUUUUUUGACUGGUAGCUAACAAGGCGCAUUAGUAAGCAGCUAGCGGUUCCCAUCGCGUUUCACUCGUGCGUUCGCUCCAGUGCGAGGCAUGAGCUGGAUGAAUGUGCAUUUCCUUAUUGAGUUAAUAACUGUGAAUUAGCCCGCUGCCAGGCCACACUGUUGCUAAUUGCGCUGGGUAUAUGCAUGUAUACCGCUCCUCCUCCUCCUCCUCCUCCUCCUCCUCAUCAUCAUCAUCAUCAUCAUCAUCAUCAUCAUCAUCAUCAUCAUCAUCAUCUUAUCACUUCUCUAAAUGUAUGUAUACCCACCGCGGUAGCUGCAUACCUUGCUUCGGGGAAUCUGCCUCCCGGAUUACCUGGCUGGCUGGCUUUAUGUCUAAAGCUCUAGUUGCUGUACCUAAUACUUGAAUUCCUGCUGCACCUUCGCGGGAGGUGCUAGGGGCGGAUGCUUGGGACUCGCAUCGAGCAACUUCGUUCAGUACUAAGUCAAGCAUGCUUGCACACGAGUCGACAUGCACUGCGAACGGAACCGAACAGAGAUGUCACAGACAAAUGCCGCCGGCUGGCGGCGGCGGUCUAAGCAAGAAACUAAAUCUGAAUGCUCCAUUGAUUCAAAAGUUGAAAUUCGCACCGAUUGCUUGGCUUUUUCACUGGCUGCAGCCGCCCAGCUAGCUAUCUUAUCUUAUCCCUCAAUAAGCCCUCUUCCGCCGCAAUGGAAAAUCACUCUCGCUUAGCCAGCAGCGACUGCAUGUCGGAUAUUUUGGACAUUACAAGCUUCAAUUACGGGCUCGUGCGGUGCAGACGAACCCGGAGGUUCAUGAACCGCCUAAGAAUCAAGCUAAAAGACAAUGUUAGGUGUGUCAGGUUUACCGCGACUCCGCGCCUAGCUGGCAAUAAAAACGCUGCAGCCAGGCUUCCGAACCCUCAUAAGUAGGAUUACUUACUUUCUUACAGCAGGGAGGCCAUCGGACAUCUAGACUGUUUGCCUGACGGCGACUGCAACGGCAGGUGCAUGUAUGAUGAGUAGAAAGAAGCCAGCUGUAAUAGUGAGCCCAAAUUGUCCUACGGCUUUGUAUACGUGCGUUCCCCUCUAAUAAACCUCACGAUGGGAUAACUAACCGUGAAAAUAAGCCACGAGGCAAGAGAACGUAGUUCAACUGAAUUCGUUCCAAGUAACUCAUUUAGCAUGAUAACUCACAUACUUUUUGAAAGUAACGGAAAUCAUUAGCGGAAGGAAACGAACGACAUCGCUAAACAUUACAACGAAUACGGCCCUGUCUGAAGUGCGAGGUAGGAACGGUGCGUAUAGGCGAUCUGGCAGCCCUUGCAAGGGCUCAAUUGAGCCCUCGGCUCGUAUUGGGCGUUUUGCAGGUACGGGGAAUGCACCCCAUGUAAAACACACACACACACACAUGUGUGUGUACACACACACACACACAUUAAGCAAGUACCGGUACGUAUGUGACGCCGUUGAAAUUAAUCGCGCACCCCAGCCGGCACCAUAACAUUCCAUCCGCCCACAAGAAUGAAAGAAAGCCAGUCGGCUGCAGCAGGCUCAGUCGUCCUCCCAGACACACACACACGUCUGUAUUUUUUUUGGUCGUCUAUAUCCUGAAGACCCGUCUAUUAGACGAGUCAUCUACAAUAGUUCGUCUAAAGUCGAGUCGUCUAUGCAUGUCGUCUAUAGUCGAUUCAUCUAUUGUAGACGAAGGAUAGACGAUGGGUAGACGGUGAGAGGAGUUCAAUAUGCUGGAGAGUGUCUGCUUGGGUUAAACCAUGCCGCUGAGUGAUGUCUGUUCUGCAUCAAUGUUGGCAAGGUUCUGACAGGCUAACACUGCCUGGCAUGUAACGAUUAUCGCCAUACUUACAAAACCCCAGCACAUGCUGUGGGGACCAGGCAGUGCCCAGCCUCUCCCACUUCCUUACCACAAAACUGUAGCAGUUUGAGAUAAUUGGGCAGACUUCAGUGUAGCCCAUCCCUCAUCGACAAGCCCACAACAAAGGCUCGUCAUGGUCCUUUAUAACUGCAAUGUCUGGCAACUUCCCAGCACAGGCCAUCUGGUUUUGAAAACUCUCACCAACACAGGCUGUGAUGAACAGCCAUUCCAACUCCACCACCCUUGCCAUGUAUGCAUGGAUGCGUGGUGUAACACCGCCCAUAACCCGCAAGUCAAUGUGCCCAGCUCAACAUCAGCACCAGAUCAUCUUGGGUGGGUACUUCGACAGCAGUCCUUUCAGCACACUUCCUUGCCAAAUAAUAACACCAAGGGUCACACAGUCCUCCCCACCCCCCACACCCCCACCCGUGUGUACAAGAACUCCCCUGGCUCGGCUAAUCAAACAUCGCAGUGAACUCGGGGCCCAUCUCGGACUCCAGUGGGUGGGUUUCAUUUUCCACCGUCCCCGACUGCACGUAGAAGUGCAGUCGCGGUGACUUGCGACCCGGGAUGGCGGCAUCCCCUGCAUGCACGGUGUUGCCGUGAAGCAGGAUAAUGUGGCCCGGCUGCAUGAUCAGCCGCAGCAGCUUCGGGGCACUCACGGAGGCCAGCGCAAUCAUUUUUGCACGUUUACUCUUGCGCUGAACCAGGCCUGCAUAGGUGCGAACAGCAUUGUGGCUCAAUGGCGACACCAACAGAGAGCACGGCUCAAGUGGCACAAUGGCGACAAGGCCAUUUGCCCCGACAGGCAUAUCGAUGUGGAGCAACUGCUCCCGGAGGGGCUCCUCACCGGGCAGGUUGACAAGCACCACGCCCUUCUGCACCCGCUGUGUGCCUGUCGCUACCUUUCCGAGCUCCGUGACGAUGUACCGUUUCAAUGGCUUCAGCAGCCGGUACAGCUCAGAGGCACGCUCGUACACCGGGCGGGAGAGACCCUCCUCCUUGUCCUGCCCCUCCUCACCCAGCUCCUCCCCUUGCCCCUCCUCCUCCCCCUGGAUCCUCUCCUCCGCCUCCCCUUCCUCCUCCGUUCCUUCCUCCUCUCCCUCCCCCUCCUCCAACCCUUCCUCAUCUCCUUCCUCCUCCUCUUCAGCCUCUCCGUCCUCCUCCUCCUCCCCCCCCUCGUCCAUCACCCUUUCCCCUCCACCCUUUCCCUCGCCCUUGAAUGCUUUGGGCUUCUUGGGCUGUUGCAGCUCUGCCUGGUACCGCUGUCCACCCUUGCCUGGUGUCACUACUACCCGGUGCUCAUCCUUUUCGUCCCGGACGAAAUUUCCACACUCAUCCUUUACCAGCUCGUUGAAGAUGGGAUACCCCACCAGCUCACAGAACUCUGUGGCGUUGCUGGCCGCUUCUGUGGUGAUGCGCUCCUUCUGUGGCACACACACACACACACACAUACACACACACAUACACACACACAUACACACACACACGCACACACACACUCUUGUUAGUGUUGCGCCGCCCGACCAGCAGCGAACACCUCUUUCCUGUGUCGAUCAACAUCCCAACAUGGUCAAUAUCCAUCCUCCUCCCUGGCCCAUCGAUAGCGACAGCGGCGAUAUUCCAUAACAGCCUCCACCUCGACCCGACGAUGCGCUAUAAUGUGCUAGUUAUGCCAUUACGCAGCUCACAAACAGUGGCCUUGUUGCAUGCUGGAUACGUGCUUGACAGCUCUCACCCCUGACCGUGCGUGCGUCCCCUUACGAGAUGCCCUGUCGGUAGUUUACAGGUUUACGUAGGUCGUGGGCGGCGGCACUGCAGGGAGGGGGCACCGUGCGUGUGUGGGGUGAGCGUGUGUGUAACAUACACAGCUAUUAAUCACUGAGGACGACCUCCUGUGAGCUGGAAAAGAGAGUCAUAGGGGUGGUGGUGGUGGUGGUAGUAGUAGUAGCAAUGAUGAUAGUAAUGAGAUAAUAAUAAUAAAUAAUAAUAAAUAGUAAAUAAUAAUAAUAUAAUAAUAAUAAUAUUAAGAGAGCAGUUGAUACCGUAGCGGAACUAAAGAUUUUACAAAAUAAAUAAUUAUUUGCAUGCGGUAAAAUAUUUUGGCAAAAUUCAGAGUCUUACCGUAAAAUCUUUAGUUCCCGGGAGGGAACUCGGAGCGAUGCGGUAAAAUAUAUAUGGCCCUUCGCGCACAGCAAGCUUUUGGCACUAGAUCUUAUUCUAUUUUACACAUAAUAUUGUAACAUAAUAAUAUAUUAACCUAUUUCUGGCAGCAGCAUGGGCAAGCGCAAGCUCAGCAAACACCGCUUCAUUGACAAGCUGCCGGCCAUACCGGCGGCUUUUGCCAGCGAAGUGCAGUUCUCAGCACCUAAGGCAAUUACGAACACGUUUUACUGACUUAGUGUCAAUGCCUCCUCGUGACCGCUAUUUGAUCAGUUUCGCUGCAUAACCAUUGCGGUUGCAGCCCUUGCGGUGGUUGUUAUAGCUAAGGGCUUAUUUUGUUGGGGAGUAGGGAGUAGGCAUUUGAGAGAUGACAUAUCUAAGUUCUUACAAGCUGGUUGGUGUCGCCGGGCGUGAAGUGGCUGUAUUUAGAUGGUUACGAUGGCCCUUUCUUGGAGCGUCGUGAAAUGCUCUCGCGUCCUUCAUCAAUCAUAAGAAUUCUGCGGCUGGUACAGAAUGGUGGAUGUUUGGAGGCCUUGUCACGGUGGCUUGGCUUUCAGAUGGGGGUUUACCAUUUGGAGUUUCUUAAUUUGAGACGUGUUGUGAUGAUUCUCAUUUCCCCUCAUGCGUGAGAGGGAGGCGGGCAGUGGUGUUGCAUGGUGGGGUAGCUUUGCGGGCCGGUAAAAUCCCAGGAAAUCAUCCACAGUACCGUAAAAUCUUGGCAAAAUCCACCAGCAUGCGGUAAAAUACUUCGUUCCGUAAAAUAUAUUAAAAUCCAUAAUUUUGCGGUAAAAUCUUUAUUUUGUAAAAUCUUUAGUUCCGCUACGGUAGCAUUCACUCCCCCAGUCCCCAGCCAACCAACUUGAGUUGUCAUGCACUCUAUCCGCAUGCACCGCAGGCCCCACCACUACCACCACCACCACCACCGCCACCACCGCCACCACCACCACCAGGAUCAUCUGCCCCAUGCCGGGGACUCACCGUUGUACAGAUACUGUGCAUUGCUCACAACGUUGCCCGCAUCCAUGUAACGGCACACAACUGAGAGGCAGCCAAUGUUAAAUCUAAAGCCACCCUGGUAUUGGAUUCUAUUCCCUGUAGCCAGUCCGCAGCCGACAAUUGAUGUUGAGCGCCAGACCACCUGAGUGAAGUGACCAAGCCCUAGAGGAACAUUAACGUCGGCUGGUUGCGAAGUAUUAAAGUUGUAAUAUUGAAUCUCGCCGUACCAAGCACCAACUGCCAGCGCGCACUUGAAGUCGGGGCUGGGUUGCGAUUCGAAUAAGGCUAUGUUCUCGCCGAUUUUGGUAUCCGGGGAGUGUUCGUGUGAGCAGCGGGGCCCGAUCACAUCAGCCCAGGCCUGGGCGCUUUUGGCCAAAUUGGCGUCCCAUCGCAGGGGAGGGACCUGGUGAAGGCUACGGUAGUAGUUGUGAACAUCCAGAACCUGUUGAGCAUCGGGACAGACGCCACCUGCAGCCACCGCCAUACGGCACACCCAUAUGCAUAACAUACACGCAAUCUGUAAAGUGUAAGGCUGCUGCAUUGCGGCACUAACGCUGGGUGUAUUUGUGGGUGGGUGGGUGGUUUUGGGUUUUGGUGCGGGUGUGGUUGUGGGUUUGGGUAUGGGUGUUGUUGUGGGUGUGGGGGUGGGUGCAUGUAUGUCCCGCAUAAUCCGCACUGGAAGUACACCCUAAUACACAUAGACGAACAUGGCACUUAACACGGCGUCAUCCGAUACGGUCCGAUAUCAUCUAGGACACGGUCGGAGCCUUGCCACCAUAAGAUAUACGACAAUGUGACACUUCUAAGUGUUUUUGCUGAUACAGUGGAUAUGGCAAUAAUAAUAAUAGAUAGUAUUAAAGUGCAGCCCGCUCCAUAAAUUCAGAUCUGAUAUUGCCGCACAGACAGCAGCGGCUUUGCCGCAUAAACCAUCAGUCGUACUUGCAGACGCGCGCAUACCCAAGUAAGGUAUCACUAGCGGCCGACCUGGAGUGGUGAUGCUCAAGGGCGGUGAUGGAGGAGGAGGCGGUCGCGGUGGCCGUGGGGACGGCGGGGGCGGCAGUGGGCUUGGCGGCCGUGGAAAUGGGGACGGCGGCCGUGGGAAUGGGGAUGGCGGCGGUGGUGGCGGCGGCGGGCUUGGCGGACGUCUUGGCGACUGCGGCCGCGGCGGCGGCGACUUUUUCGCCACUGGCGAAGGUGGCGGCGACUUGGCAGCUUUUGCCCGCGGCGGGCGACGCUUUCCCUUCUCCGCAACUGCAAUACGUUACCGGCAGGCAGGUCGAAUACAGAUACACGCUGCUGGGAGGGGGAGGAGGAGGUGCGGCCAGCGUGCGGAGGCGGGGAGCUCGCGCACAAUAAAGUUAGACCUCUACCAGUAGGAGCGAUAAUAACGGCACUAAGAGAGCGUUUGAUGAGCGGCUGGGACCAUACGCGUCUGACUGUCUUGCCAGAGGAGUACCCAUCAGAUGGGAAGCAACCGGGAGUGCAAAUGGCGAAGUAUAAGCACUGGAUGGGGCUGCCCUUUUCGGGAGCCGCAGCCGUCAUGUGGCCAACACAUGCUAAGGUUUUCAUUCCUCGUUUAGCACAUCGUAAGCUAAUGCAGUUUCGUUUAUGUUGCUGGGCUUUGGAGGCGAACAGAGCACGAAGGGGCAAGUACCAUGUCCCCAGGGGGCAGCGGUUUUGCCACUGUUGUGGUCCUAAUAGCCGAAUUGAGGAUGAAAAACACGUGUUAUUGGAAUGCCCAGCCUAUAAUGAUAUUCGUGCUGAAGAGGGAUUCGAUCAUCAACAGAGUAUGUUGGAGGCCAUGCAAUGGGAACCCGCACGUCUGGCGAGGAUGUUGGAACGUAUGUGGGCUCACCGAAACUCAAUUACCCCCUUUGGACGUUAGUCUGGGCUGAUGUGCGGUGUUUUUUCCUUUUUCUCCGUGGCUUUUAGGCGUUGUAGUAUUGCCCUUGGGCCCUCGGCUCGUAUGGGUAGUCUUACAGGUAUGGGGUCACGCACCCCCAACCAUGUAACACACACACACAAUAAAGUUAAAUGAUGACUCAGCAAGCAGCUGCAGGUCACAUGGGUAGUGCACACGCAAUGCGCGCAGGACUUUCUCCCAGUUGCUGUCUGUUACAUACGUAGUAAUGGAACCGUCGAAAACGCGGAUGAUCAUCAAUACAUAUACGGGGAUUCAGAAUGCAAGGCCGCGAUGCGUUCUGCAACGGCUGCAAGACGCGAUGAUGAAAGGCACCACUAAACGCACCACGCACAUACGUACGAGCGUACAUACGUACGCACGGGAUUGGUGCGGGAGUGGAAACGCAAAGUAAGGACACUGUCUGUUGGGUUGAGGAGCGACUAUCGACCAUCUAUUUUCAGGCCUAUCUACCGUGGGCACAAUCUGUAGACCAUGAAUUUAUUUACAAUCUAUUUCUAGGUCCUAGAUAGUCGAUUAUAAGAUGAGCCUGUCUAUAGGCCAUAUUCAUUUUUACCGACGUCAUAACCGACGCAUUUCCAAAACCAUUUUUUUGCAGCCUAACAUGGCAACCCAACACCUAUAUGUCUGAUGAACUGCAACCUUUCGUUGCCGACGGACCAAUCCGGGCGCAAUAACCGCAAUAAUCGACUUACGAUUGCUGUUUUCUUGCUGGGCCAGCGCCUGCUGGGAGGCCACCAGGACGGCGAAGAUGAGGGCCGCUAAGGCCGCAGACGCGGCAAGAUGCCGUCGAACCAUUUGGACGUUUCGAGGGCUGGUUCUUGCGAUUAUUAUAUACCGGCGGUAAGGUACUACAGGAGAAAGGUGCCUUACCAGAUACGGAGAUCGAUUCACGCACGUCCUGGUGUGUGUAUAUGUAGUAACAGAACUUGUGCUCGUAUAUGUAUAAAUGGCAGGUUUUGUUCAAACACACAUUUUCCAAUUACACUAAUCAUGUGGCGUAAAUUUAUCCUUUUCACAUGGGCUGACUGUAACGAUUCUCCUGUUUCGUGUACAACAGUCUGUGUGCCCGUUCGGCAAGAGCGACGAUCCGUUCGUUCUGAAGUGUCGCUCUGCGGCGUGAGUGAUUGGCUGUCGAAUCUGCCAUAGGAUAACUAAUAAUACUAUAUCGCUUUGAUGAGUCAUUAUUAGGUGUCGCAACGCCAUCCGCGUCCAUCACGACAUUCAUAAGACAUUCAUGGUGCUCACCAUUCCCCCUUCGAGAGCACGUACAGCGGUCUGCUGCGUCUAUCUCAAGCAUCAUCAAAACAAUAGAUAGCUCAUAAAUUAGGAGCCGCAAUCCUACGGUGUGGCUUCGUUGAUGUAUCAAUUGACGUCUUCACGGCUGUGUCCCCUGGGUAGGGUACAGGCUUUGAGGUAGGUUGGGAGGAGCAGACGCUCGUCCAAGGCCGGCGGUUAGCAUCCAAAUCUACAAACAUCAUUCCGGAGCAGAAUGUGCAUCAGUUUGCAUGUGCGUGGGUGCUCUAUCUGCUGGAAUAGACACCUCACUCCUGUAGUGUUUCAUUUCUGUAGUCAUUGAAGCAGGUACCGUAGUAUGACAUCCUCGCUCAAUGAGCGAAAUCAAGCGAAAUGGAGGAGUUUUCCAUUCCUAAGCUCGACGUAGUGGCAUCUAUUUGCGAAAAAAAACGCUUUCCGCUAUGACUAAGCAUGUAAGAUGCUAAAGGACGGCGGCUUACGCUGUCCGUCCUGAUCGGUGGAAUCAUGCAUGCUACCGUAGUCUUACUUAUACGCGACGUUACAAACUGUGACGGGCCUGGCCGAGAGGGGUCUGACAUUUCUUCGGUUUAAAAACGAAUGGCGGCCAAAAUAUCCGAAAGUAUGGUCCACAUUUCUCCGUUACAAUAUGAAUGGCGGUCGUCGCGGCCCACCGCCCCAGGGCCCCGAUAGCGGAGAACUGCACCAGCAGCAGCCAUGCAAGCAAAGCUGAAAUGCACUUCGUUUGCGACUCUGUGCGCACACGCCAUACGAGGCUGACAUGUUCCUUCGUUGCCAUCAGUGCAAGGCACAGCACUUGCACCCGGCGCACAUGGCUCCACAUAAACUUGCACUGACAAACCGAUGGCGACGCCCUAGGGCCAAAAGCUGGUCCGGAUUUCUACACUUUUUGAAUGGCGAAAAUCGCCAUUAGUUUGUAACGUCGCGUAUAAGUAAGACUACGGUAUGUCUUUUCGUUCCCCCAAUUGUGCCCCUCCAAGCUCGGGGUCUACUUAAUUUCCCAAUGCGUCCCUACAAUCUUGCUUAGCCUUUGACACAUUAUAUGUUUUUUUGUAACAACAGCUGUUUUGGCAUCUGAUUGGCGAGAGCAAGGAGCUGUCACCUCGCAGUGGGAGCGAAAACGCGCGCGCGUACACGAUAUUGAACCCGCCGAUUUUCUAUAGAAUUAUUUUAGUGUCGCUAAUUCCAUAAAUGUUGUAUUUUCUGGAAAUGACUUGGGAUUUUUGACUCGCUGACCAAAGUUAUCUCUGUCUGCCCCUUCCAGCAGCAGAGGAUGCUUCCAGCUUCAAAUUCGCGUUAGCUCCUGCUACGAGUCUAUUGCCAUUGCCAUUUCUGUUACAGAUAUUGGCUGUGCUCUUACGGCCUGAUCGAUGAAAAGGCCGCACCGAACCAAAAGGAAAAGAAAUAAUGUAGUAGAGCGAAAAGGGCGGGCGACGCGGCCUCCAGGGUGGGAGGGCGGGGCGCGUGCUGAACAACAAAAACAAGAUACAGAAAACCUGCAACACGCGCUAUUUAUGCAAAAGACGAUCCUGAGGACACGGAUCGCCGGCCUCAAGUCGUACCACUUAAAACGGCCGUAAGGCCCUACGCCUUAGCUAACCCGGCUCAAGCUUCGCAUAGCCCGCAUUAGCUCCUGCUACGAGUCUAUUGCCAAAAGGAAAGACACCCCCUCUCAGCGGUUAAAGUACUGACCCAUCACCGGCGCGACACGCCGGGCCGCGAGAGGGCCAAAGAAGGCGACCGCACGAGGGCAGCCACGGACCCCCAAAUCGAGGUAGUUCUCCCGCAACGCCGACGAGCCUGCGGCCCAGCCACCAAAUGCUUCGAUGAUAUCCAGUGGCACUCCCGCCGCACGGGCGGCCGAGGCACCACCCCGCCGCAAACUAUAAAGGGUGUGGACGGAACGAAGGCCCUCCAGGCCACACUGCGCCAAAACACGAUCGAACCAACGCUCGGCCCCCUGAGUCGUCUGGCGCUCCGGCCAUAAACGCGCAGGGUCCCGGGACAGCUUCUGCAGGAGGGCAACCCGGAGAAACGGGAGGCCCCCCNNNNNNNNNNNNNNNNNNNNNNNNNNNNNNNNNNNNNNNNNNNNNNNNNNNNNNNNNNNNNNNNNNNNNNNNNNNNNNNNNNNNNNNNNNNNNNNNNNNNNNNNNNNNNNNNNNNNNNNNNNNNNNNNCAUAAAUUCAGAUCUGAUAUUGCCGCACAGACAGCAGCGGCUUUGCCGCAUAAACCAUCAGUCGUACUUGCAGACGCGCGCAUACCCAAGUAAGGUAUCACUAGCGGCCGACCUGGAGUGGUGAUGCUCAAGGGCGGUGAUGGAGGAGGAGGCGGUCGCGGUGGCCGUGGGGACGGCGGGGGCGGCAGUGGGCUUGGCGGCCGUGGAAAUGGGGACGGCGGCCGUGGGAAUGGGGAUGGCGGCGGUGGUGGCGGCGGCGGGCUUGGCGGACGUCUUGGCGACUGCGGCCGCGGCGGCGGCGACUUUUUCGCCACUGGCGAAGGUGGCGGCGACUUGGCAGCUUUUGCCCGCGGCGGGCGACGCUUUCCCUUCUCCGCAACUGCAAUACGUUACCGGCAGGCAGGUCGAAUACAGAUACACGCUGCUGGGAGGGGGAGGAGGAGGUGCGGCCAGCGUGCGGAGGCGGGGAGCUCGCGCACAAUAAAGUUAGACCUCUACCAGUAGGAGCGAUAAUAACGGCACUAAGAGAGCGUUUGAUGAGCGGCUGGGACCAUACGCGUCUGACUGUCUUGCCAGAGGAGUACCCAUCAGAUGGGAAGCAACCGGGAGUGCAAAUGGCGAAGUAUAAGCACUGGAUGGGGCUGCCCUUUUCGGGAGCCGCAGCCGUCAUGUGGCCAACACAUGCUAAGGUUUUCAUUCCUCGUUUAGCACAUCGUAAGCUAAUGCAGUUUCGUUUAUGUUGCUGGGCUUUGGAGGCGAACAGAGCACGAAGGGGCAAGUACCAUGUCCCCAGGGGGCAGCGGUUUUGCCACUGUUGUGGUCCUAAUAGCCGAAUUGAGGAUGAAAAACACGUGUUAUUGGAAUGCCCAGCCUAUAAUGAUAUUCGUGCUGAAGAGGGAUUCGAUCAUCAACAGAGUAUGUUGGAGGCCAUGCAAUGGGAACCCGCACGUCUGGCGAGGAUGUUGGAACGUAUGUGGGCUCACCGAAACUCAAUUACCCCCUUUGGACGUUAGUCUGGGCUGAUGUGCGGUGUUUUUUCCUUUUUCUCCGUGGCUUUUAGGCGUUGUNNNNNNNNNNNNNNNNNNNNNNNNNNNNNNNNNNNNNNNNNNNNNNNNNNGGCAGUGAAAACGCGAGAAGAACGCGGGACAUGCGUGUUGAGAUGCGAGGCGAACAGAUCCACAUCAUACGGCCCAAACAGAUGCUCUAGGAGACGAAAAUAGCGGGGGUGCAGGCGGUAAUCAUCCCGAUCGAUCCAACGGGAGGCAGCAUCCGCCUCGUUUGCCGCACUCUCGACCCUCUCCACCUGCAAAACGAUGCUGUGCUCUUGCAGGAACUCCCACAGACACUGCAACUCCGCGUGCAUAGCUGGUGACCGCGAAGACAGGCGACCCAGAACUGCCUGAGUGCAGGUGUUAUCCUCCCGAAUCAACACAACACGCUGCCGAACGAGAGGGAGAAAAGACUCCAGAGCGUAACGCACAGCCCGCAACUCCUUCCAAUUGAUGUGUGCGGGAAUCUCAUCGAACGACCAGUAACCUCGCGCGGUGCGACCAUGCAACACAGCACCCCAAGAGUGGCGGGACGCAUCCACCGACAGCUCAACCGCCGCCGGUCCCAAAUGGAUUGCUGCCGAACAAUGGCGGGUGGGAACCUCCGCCCACCAAUCUAGGUCCCGCAUAGACCCACGGGACAGCCGCACUUUACCGGACCAACCAACCGGCUGCGCAAGAUCAUCGUAGAAAUUACGGAGAAACAGGGGGGCGGGGGUGAGGGCGAGCUUCACACUCUGAGCAAAACCACACAGCUGCGCCAACUCACGCUUCUGAACCAGACGGCGAUUCUUCUUGGCCGUAACCCGGAGCCCCACAGCUAACCGACGCAACUUGGCCAACUUGCCCGCAGGCACCUCAAACAGNCCCUCCGCAGUAUUAACUGUAAUGCCCAAAUGGUAAACCGACUGCGAGGGCUCCCAUUGGCACUUGGUGGGAUGGCACGAUAAACCCAGGAACUCGAUGCUCUCUCUGACCCACUGCNNNNNNNNNNNNNNNNNNNNNNNNNNNNNNNNNNNNNNNNNNNNNNNNNNGGAGGGGGAGGCGGCGGGGGAGAUGGUGGCGGCGGUGGAGGGGGUGGCGGAGGAGGAGAUGGGGGCGGCGGUGGAGGGGGCGGCGGUGGAGGCGAUGGCGGUGGAGGGGGAGGGGGAGGCGGCGGAGGAGAUGGCGGAAGGGGGGAAGGCGGCGGAGAUGGCGGCGGAGGUGGAGGUGGAGGCGGAGGCGGAGGAGAUGGUGGCGGAGGGGGAGGCGAAGGCGAUGGCGACGGAAGGGGAGGCGAAGGCGAUGGCGGAGAAGGGGGAGAGGGCAGCGGCGAAGGGGAUGGUGGAAGUGGAGAUGGCGGAAACGGAGAUGGUGGACGUGGGGAAGGUGGUCGAGGGGAUGGCGGAGGCUUGGGGGUGCUCACAUAGCGGAUAGGGCAGCAUGUGUCGGUGCUGUUGAGGCUAUUCAACAGGGCUACUUGGCAUGUCCCUGGAGGAGAGCUGACUGACGGCGGCACACAGAGCUCUUCCAGAGUACCGCAGCCGGCGUCGUUCACACCAGCCGUGAGGUUGAGGCAGAGCUCAGCGUUGUUGUCCGAUAAACCCAUAGUCAGGCUGGUGAGCCGGAGCACGUAUCUGUAGGUGCCGUUGUCCAAUUGGUAGGUGUAGUAAUUAGGGCCGACGAGGGUGAACUUUCCAUUAAUGGUUGCCUUGACUGACGCAGACUUGGCCAGGCACUUGGCGUUGACAUCAAACUGUUGGGAGACAGGCGAGAUGACGCGAAAAGGGAAGAAAAAGAUGUUAACUCCUCGACCAAAGGGAGGGACAAAAUGUACUAAGGGCCGGGUAAAAAACGUAUUCGGUUGACCGGGUUAAAUGAUCGCAUAACAUAUUUAUACAUGCUGAUGUUAUGUUAGCGCAGCAUGGAUUUCCAUGGGACUCCGACUUCGCCUAAGCGCAGUUGGUCGUUUCCGCAGCAAACCAACCGCACCUCAAUUUUGUUCAAGUCGACAUUGCAGCAUCGUCCAGUGCAACCUGUGCUAUUGACAAGAAUCUUGAAGCAGUACUGGCCUUUGCCUUUCACAGUCACAGUUGGGGCGAAGUUGUAUGGCGAUGGAUUGGCAGGAAGGCGAUAGCAGGAGCAGUAGGGGAAUCUAGGGUCGACUGUCGCCUGAGAAUCCAGCUGUUCCUCAAGUGAAGUAUCAGCAACUGCUGUUGUCAUCCUGCGUUUUGCCAGGGUUCGAUCCGAUUUACUGACUCAGUCAAUGGCUGUCUCUAAGCCAAGGUCAAGAGCACCACAAAUCAGGCAGCCCAACGUAUUGAUACACCAAAUCAAUGGUUACAAAAAAACCUACCAUGACAUCGCAAGGCACAGAAGCAGACGUGCAAGGCGGGGCCUUAAAGCGCGCCUCGCCAUGGCUGCAGGAGAAGAUUGUCUACGCUUCUUCUGGCUAUCUUGGAUGUGACAAAAUGAAUGUGAUAAUCCUUUAUAAGUCAGAAGGACAUGUUCGUUGAUUGGUAGGUACGGCACUUCUUAUCCCAGCUUGCAAUGGAUCCAAAUUUUGGAAGACGAACUGAGCAGUACACGAGGUACAUUUGUCAGCACAUCAUCCUAUAAAGGACUAUCUUGAAAUGUUGAAGGAAUAAACUAUGCUUGCUCAAGUGCAGAGCUUAUUAUUGAGGUAACAAGAUCCAUUCGGCAUGGCACUAGCGCUCACAGAUGCCUUUUGUACAUUCACGAAAAGACGCCCAACCGUACAUUUUUAUUUUUAAUGCGUUGCAGCUUAAGAAGCUCCUUCCUCUCGUACGCAUACUUACACAUCGGACACUCAAAAAGGCUGGUCUGUAAGCGUCGGUACAGAGCCAUGCAGUCUAACAUCCCAAUAGCCUUACAACACUCGCAAAAGCUAGACUGGCAUGACGCAGCGUGGCCGUUGCCGCCAUUGUCUUUGUCACAAAGACGGUGAGCUGUUACCAUGCACGCGCAGUACCGACGUAUUGCCCCUAGUAAGACACGCCAACAUCGUGGAAAGUUUAUUAUCUUUUAUUAUCCUUGUGCCUGAUGUAUGCAAAGCAAUGCUAUAAAUAAUCAGUAAAGUAUCAGCAACCUGCUGUGUCAGCUUCGUUUUGCCAGUUGUUCACGAUUUACUCACGAAAAUGGCUGCUCUAAGCCAAAAGUCAGAGCACCACAAACCGGCGCCCAACGUAUUGAUUACACCAAAUAAAUGGUACAAAAAAACCUANNNNNNNNNNNNNNNNNNNNNNNNNNNNNNNNNNNNNNNNNNNNNNNNNNUGUCGCGGUACCAAGUCCUCACAUGCCGAACAGCAAAAUCGAGCAACUUCCAACAGGCACAUAUUAUACAUGAAGUUUUGUGGUCUAAAACAUACCACUAUAGGAGGAGGUGGGAGGCGUAGGAUUUAGAUAUGUCGGCAUACCUUUUGAAUAUGCACCAGCCAUAGGCCGCCGGUAUGUAUUCUCCAAUCAUGCAGUAUUCCAUCCGGCCAUCGUAAUGUAAUACUGUCGCUAUGUAAUCCUGUCGCUAUUCGUCGGCUAAUUCACGACGUUUCAUGAGGUGAUAUUAACCAUUUGACAAGAGCACAUAUGGAUACAGUAACUAGUUCGCUGGGUUUGCACCUUGUUUGGUUAUCCCCCCACAUCACGCGUAGGAUGAAUAGGAUGGGGGGCCGGGGUGCAGCAUCCGGUGCUCUACGGCUAGUAGCAGAGCCUUCCGGUCUAGCCACGGGAACCCAAGCCAUAGCCAGACAAAUUAGACUGCCUAUAGCCGCUGCUCUGUUUGGCAGAUCGUGUCAGCAGAGGCCGGCCGCGGUAAAUGAGUGUGGCCAGUGGAAAGCAGAACUAGCUGGAGGCGGGCUACUCUUUGUUUUUUGUUGUGUUAGUGUUAGUGAACGCGGGUAUACCGCUCAGCAGGAGCCGCAAUACGGCCGAUACGGCCGAGCAAGGCAUACAUACACACAACCCAAAUUGGAAGCCGAAGUUUCGGCUGGUCGAUGACUCCCCAUAUGUCGCGUACAUGUAGAUCUGUAUAACGUAAUUCCUAAAAAUUGCAUGUCCUUAUUGGAAGUCCUUUGCGAGGUUGCCCGAGUGGUCGAAGGGGUGAGCCUUAAGAUCUCAUGGUCGCAAGACUGCGUGGGUUCGAUCCCCACACCUCGCAAAAAAUUNNNNNNNNNNNNNNNNNNNNNNNNNNNNNNNNNNNNNNNNNNNNNNNNNNCAAACCAGAAUUAUCCACCGUCAUGGUUCCCGGCAAAUUGUGCAGAACAUAGUCGGGAAACGGAAACCGCGACCCGGCUGGAGAGCGCUGCACUUGAGGCGACGCAAAAUCCUCCGUCAGCGCGCGCAAAUCGUAUUCCGGACCCGAGGUCGCACCUUGACUAUUUAGGCGCGCGCGGACCCCGGCCAGGUCUUGUUGCAUCUGGAGUAACAUUGCAGCGAUGUCCGGCCCAGCAACCGCCGCACCAGACAUAGUUGCCGCUCUCGGUACCGCGCUGGGCGCCAUUCCGCCUCCUAGCGGCGUAGCGCCGCCACCCAGCAGACCUUGCAUAUAUGGGGAAGGGGGCUGGGAACCAUAUUGGCCCGGCAUCAUGGCGCCAGCAACGCCGCAGAAAACGACAAAAACCGCUAAAACGGCUUGGACGGAUACUGCUACGGUUGCCAUGAUCUUCAAGACGAUGACGACGGAGCGAUAAUGGUGCUCCUUCAAUCAGGGCACUCUACCCGAUGGGUCUUGCUGAAGAGCUGAAAGCACAGCGGAAAAAACAGAAAGCGCGCCGAAGGCGCGGGACCUGCCUCGUUGUUCAGCGCGUGCUGAACAACAAAAACAAGAUACAGAAAACCUGCAACACGCGCUAUUUAUGCAAAAGACGAUCCUGAGGACACGGAUCGCCGGCCUCAAGUCGUACCACUUAAAACGGCCGUAAGGCCCUACGCCUUAGCUAACCCGGCUCAAGCUUCGCAUAGCCCGCAAUACAGGUACCUUCCGCAUUCCACAGUUGCGCAACUCAACUUGCAGUUUUCAUGAAAUGUAUUAUGCAAAUAGAUGUGUUCAAUGAUGUGCCAUAAGCCAUAACAGGUCAUAUACCUCUAUAUACUUCAUAUACCUCUGUGUGUCUCGGUCUGUGACCCAAGCGAGGGCAAAACAUGAACACCUAAAGCCACAAACAAAAGUACCGCACUAGCAGGAGAACAGAAUGUACAUAUAUAGCUGUUACAGCAUUUGUCAUACAUACAUACAUACCUCCGUUCAGUGGACCACAUGUACAAAAUUGAGGUGCAAACGAAUAACGGUGAAGGUGGCGAGUACAGACUCUUUUUUCCGAAACAUGUCUGUAACGCGGUCGACUCGUGCGGUAGUGAUACAAGCGUCCUUGACCAACUAAUACAUACAGAGCUGCUACCAAGGCGCUGGCUUGACCUUCCGACGUUGCGUCCGGAGUACCGGGCGACCUGACCGUCAGCGCUUCUGGCGGGCCUGCCCCUGCGUCCAUUGGCGAUCGCCUGCGGUUGUCUGCUUGUCUGCCGCCUGCUUCUUACCUCCUGUCGGCGGUUGGGUAUCGCUUGAUGUUGCAUUACGGCCUGCUUUCGUACAGGCUUGCUGCAGCCGCGACCCCACCUGGCCAGAUGCAUACCCGCCCAAUCAUGCCGAAACUUUUGUAAUCCACGCUUUCAAUUUGUAAAAGCUUGAAACAGAGCACUCCUUACGGACCUGCCGUACGUACGGCAUGGUGAGCGUGUGGCGGGUUCCAAGGGUCCCUUUGGCGGAGGGUAAUAAUAUUAAAUACCCCGUCACCUCAUUAGCUAUCCUCUGUAAAACCUUGCUGCUGAAAAGCUUGCAGUGCGGAGAGCACGUGAGCAUACACGCUUUGCGUAGCUUUGGGGCCUUGGGACAAUCACCACGCUGCGGCUCUACUCUUCGUGAGUCUGGAGCCCACUGUAACACACAUACACAUACACACACAUACACACACAUACACACACAUACACACACAUACACACACAUACACACACAUACACACACAUACACACACAUACACACACAUACACACACAUACACACACAUACACACACAUACACACACAUACACACACAUACACACACACAUAAACACACACAUACACACACAUACACACACACACACAUACACACACACACGCACAUACACACACACACUCUUGUUAGUGUUGCGCCGCCCGACCAGCAGCGAACACCUCUUUCCUGUGUCGAUCAACAUCCCAACAUGGUCAAUAUCCAUCCUCCUCCCUGGCCCAUCGAUAGCGACAGCGGCGAUAUUCCAUAACAGCCUCCACCUCGCCCCGGCGAUGCGCUGUAAUGUGCUAGUUAUACCAAUACGCAGCUCACAAACAGUGACCUUGUUGCAUGAUGGAUACGUGCUUGACAGCUCUCACCCCCGACCGUGCGUGCGUCCCCUUACGAGAUGCCCUGUCGGUUGUUUACAGGUUUACGUAGGUCGUGGGCGGCGGCACUGCAGGGAGGGGGCACCGUGCGUGUGUGGGCGUGAGCGUGUGUGGGCGUGAGCGUGUGUAAAGCUAUUAAUCACUGAGGACGACCUCCUGUGAGCUGGAAAAGAGAGUCAUAGGGGUGGUGGUGGUGGUGGUGGUAGUAGUAGUAGCAAUGAUGAUAGUAAUGAUGAUAAUAAUAAUAAAUAAUAAAUAAU